CUGCCAGGGACAUAUUGAACAUUCUGGGUCUUUCUUCUUGAGAUCUCUUGAUUUGGAUACCCUCCUAUCAAUGCAGAUUAGGCAUUGUUUUUCAAUUUUCCAAUUUCAUAGGGUUGCAUGGGGCACCAAAAGGUUAAAUAAUUUGUCCAGGGUCACAGAUAUCAUUAUUGCAACUCCUGCCUUCUUUCUAUCAGUUGAGGCCCAGAAGGUCUUACUCCAUCCUUUAAUUCUGACCUUGUGUGUUUCUUGAAGACAACAUCCUUUCUGCUAUUCGUCUAUGUUUUAUGGGUGAGUUCAUCCCUUUCAUGUUCAAAGUUAUGAUUGUCACUUGUGGAUUCCCUGGCAUUUUGAUAUCCUCCCCUAAUUCUGACCUUUCUUCUUUAGCAAUAACCUUUUAAACCAGUGAUUUACUUUAAAUUAGUCCCCUUAGUCCCCUCCCUUGAUAUUCUUUCCUUUCUAGUCCCUCUCUUUUUGUGUUCCCUCCAUCCUUGGUUUUCCCUUCUCCCUUACCUUAUUGGAUAAGAUAGAAUUCAAGAUCUCAAUGGAUCUAGAUGCUUUUCCCUCUCAGAGUUGAUUUCACCGA
RNAcentral lists this long non-coding RNA (583 nucleotides) under Monodelphis domestica (gray short-tailed opossum). RNAcentral's name for it is "lncRNA (ENSMODG00000047933.1)". The record is from RNAcentral. Lineage: Eukaryota; Metazoa; Chordata; Mammalia; Didelphimorphia; Didelphidae.